Non-coding RNA from Malus domestica (apple), 626 nucleotides. The record is from RefSeq and is a predicted model, not a curated record. NCBI's taxonomy places the organism in Eukaryota, Viridiplantae, Streptophyta, Magnoliopsida, Rosales, Rosaceae.
UAAGAGGACUGGAUCUGCAAACUGGUUUUUUCACCUUCAGGCAAAUUAAAGCUGCCACUAACAACUUUGAUCCUGAAAACAAAAUCGGGGAAGGCGGUUUUGGGUCUGUCUACAAGGGUAUAUUGUUGGAUGGUACUAUAAUCGCGGUUAAGCAACUAUCAUCAAAAUCAAAGCAAGGAAAUCGGGAAUUUGUGAAUGAAAUAGGCAUGAUAUCUGCUUUGCAUCAUCCAAAUCUUGUCAGAUUGUAUGGAUGUUGUAUUGAAUCAAACCAAUUACUGUUGGUAUAUGAAUACAUGGAGAAAUAAUAGCCUUGCACAUACUUUGUUUGGUCCAGAGGAAGGUCCAUUAAAGCUGGACUGGUCUACAAGGCAGAAAAUAUGCAUAGGUAUAGCAAGAGGUCUGACUUUUUUGCAUGAAGGAGUCGCCACUGAAGGUUGUACAUAGAGACAUUAAAGCUACAAAUAUAUUGCUAGACCAAGACCUCAACGCAAAGAUCUCUGACUUUGGUUUGGCCAAGCUUGACGAAGAGGAGAACACUCACAUUAGCACCAGAGUUGCUGGAACCAUAGGAUACAUGGCUCCAGAAUAUGCACUAUGGGGUUAUUUAACAUAUAAAGCAGAUGUCU